AGGCAACUAACAAUAUAUUUAUAUUCAUCUUUCAUUUACUCGAAAGAGACACCAACACUCUCUUUCUUCUUCUAAAAUCUGAUUCACAUCUUCAACUCUAUGAUACAAAGAAUACUCUUCAAACUUCUAUUCACAGUUUCUCUCUCACUCUCAUCCUCUGCAGAAACUGAUUUUCUUAGAUAAGCUCAGCACAACAUAAUCUGUAAGUCUUCUUCUAUUCACAGUAUAUACUGAACACACUUUUGGGCUUGCGGAUCUCUCUUCCUACCUUUUCCAUUAUUUAACUUCUUCAACUUUUCUUAAUUAUAAGGCUUUGAGAAUUAUUUCAGCAGACUCCACAACAUCUUCUUCCUCCAAAGAACCCUGUAAAAGACUCAGAUGCAUUAAGUGAGAACUGUCAAAUUCAUACAAGGUAAAACAUUAUGAUGUAAACCUCUUUCUCUGUAUAUAAAGUCAUGUGUUUACAGUUUCAGUGACUGUCUUGCAGUACAUUCUUUUCUUUCUUAUUUCUUUUUUUUAUUAUUUAUGUUCAUUAUGCUUUACUUGCUUUAAAUUAUGGCUAAUAUUUAUAUUAUUUAUGUGAGCAUCUUUCUUGUUUAAGAAUAAAUAUGUGAAAGAGUAGGAACAAGAAAGACAUUGAAUUUAUUUAAAAUUGUUAUAUUUGUGUGCUCUUUUUAUUUGUUUGUGAUGCAUCCUCUGAAAUAUAAAUAAGUUGUUGAAAUCAUAAAUAAAUUAUUUAAAUUUUAUAUGUAGAAAAACACAUUAUGAUAAAAAAAAAAGUUUAAACAGACAACUAUUAAUAAGAAAAAGAAAAAGUAAGCAGAAAGACUUCAUGAAUUCACACAACAUCUACUCUAGACAGCCACCAACCCAAUUGCAUAAGCCACCAUUAUUUCAAUUAUUGAGAUAUUGGCCCUACACGCCCACAUUUUAUCAACACUUAUUGGUAUUUUUAUUUUUAUUUUAAUAAAGUAUUAGAAUAUUUUUAAAAUUUUCUUUCAGGAUGUUACAUUUCUAGAUAUAUAAUAGAGAAAACCCUAUUAAGGUUAUGACAAGGUAACAAGUGAUUUUAAUUUUUUAUUAAUAUUAAUAUUUUUAUUUAUUAUAAUAAAAUAAAUAAUUAAUAUAAUAAUAUAAAAAUAAAAAUUAAAAAUUAAAUUCUCAAUCUUAGAUACAACAAAUUUUUUACUUCAAUUUAUUCAUAUUAUACAAUUGAUAUGGUUUACAAAUCAUAAUUCAUAAAAGUCAUUACUCUUUGUUGUAACAAUCACUUAGAACCGGAAUAUUUUGAUAUCCACUGUAAUUAUUUUUUAAAGGAAAUAAAAGUUUCAAUAUUUGGCAUGAUAUUAACAAAGUGGAAAUGUAAAGGGUUAUAUAUGACGAACUAUUUUGUUGGUAGCAUUUCUUAUAAUAUAUAUUUUGUCCAAACACCUCUGAAUGAAUGAGACCAUACCUAAUGAUAGUGAUAAUAAAUAGAGACAGGCAAUAGAUUCAAAGAAUACAAAUACAAUAAUUGUGUCUGACAGCUGUUGUCAUAUAAUUGUUGUUAGGAAGAAUAAAAUAUUAGAAUUUAGGUAUUAUUUACUGACAUAACUUUAUUUUAAAAUACCAUCAAGACCAAAGUUAAUAAUUAAGAAUCUACAUAAACAAAGUUGGAACAGUUCCUCCUUCUCAUAAGCCUUUUCCUUUAUUAUGUUUACUUUUGUAAUAUGGUUCUAAAUUUAUAAAACAAUUUGCAAUGUGUUUCAAGGGUGAACAAAUCAGAAGGACCCACACACUCUCUUUCAACUGUGUGUGUUAUAAGAGGGACCAACAUGUACAGCUAGCCCUAAAUUCAUCCUCAUUUCUUUAUUCUCACAGUAACAUCACUGACUCACACUCAACUGUUGAAAUGUGAGUUAGAUAGAAGCCAAGUCCUGAAGCUACCAACAGUAUCAUACUCUUCAAAAACGGAUUUUCUUAGAUCACUUGAGUGCAACACAAUCUGUAAGCCACUUGCUCCAACAGAUUUACGGUGUCGAGAGUGAUUCUUCCAUUUCUUUUAACGGAUUUACAUAAAAGUAAAAGCACAUCUUUCAAAGAGAGGGUUGGAUUUUCACUUUCACAAAAUAAAAAUAUUUAUGCAAAUGAAUAUUGUAAUUUACAGUUGCGCGAACGCAGAAGAUUCAUGUC
Molecule: long non-coding RNA, 2172 nt
Filed under: Vigna radiata
Lineage: Eukaryota; Viridiplantae; Streptophyta; Magnoliopsida; Fabales; Fabaceae
Description: long non-coding RNA (VRAD_LNC009690)
Source: RNAcentral